GAGUUUGAUCAUGGCUCAGAUUGAACGCUGGCGGCAUGCUUUACACAUGCAAGUCGAACGCGAAAGGGGGCAACCCUGAGUAGAGUGGCGCACGGGUGAGUAAUGCAUCGGAACGUGUCCUGUAGCGGGGGAUAACUUAGCGAAAGCUAAGCUAAUACCGCAUACGUCCUACGGGAGAAAGUGGGGGAUCGCAAGACCUCACACUAUAGGAGCGGCCGAUGCCGGAUUAGCUAGUUGGUGGGGUAAAGGCUCACCAAGGCGACGAUCCGUAGCUGGUCUGAGAGGAUGAUCAGCCACACUGGGACUGAGACACGGCCCAGACUCCUACGGGAGGCAGCAGUGGGGAAUUUUGGACAAUGGGGGAAACCCUGAUCCAGCCAUGCCGCGUGAGUGAAGAAGGCCUUCGGUUGUAAG
Molecule: ribosomal RNA, 414 nt
Filed under: uncultured beta proteobacterium
Lineage: Bacteria; Pseudomonadati; Pseudomonadota; Betaproteobacteria
Description: bacterial SSU rRNA
Rfam family: Bacterial small subunit ribosomal RNA
Source: RNAcentral